Molecule: ribosomal RNA, 254 nt
Filed under: uncultured bacterium
Lineage: Bacteria
Description: partial 16S ribosomal RNA
Rfam family: Bacterial small subunit ribosomal RNA
Source: RNAcentral
UACGAAGGGGGCUAGCGUUGUUCGGAAUCACUGGGCGUAAAGCGCACGUAGGCGGAUCUUUAAGUCAGGGGUGAAAUCCCGAGGCUCAACCUCGGAACUGCCUUUGAUACUGGGGAUCUCGAGUCCGGGAGAGGUGAGUGGAACUGCGAGUGUAGAGGUGAAAUUCGUAGAUAUUCGCAAGAACACCAGUGGCGAAGGCGGCUCACUGGCCCGGAACUGGACGCUGAGGUGCGAAAGCGUGGGGAGCAAACAGG